Molecule: microRNA precursor, 116 nt
Filed under: Fukomys damarensis (Damara mole-rat)
Lineage: Eukaryota; Metazoa; Chordata; Mammalia; Rodentia; Bathyergidae
Description: miRNA (ENSFDAG00000001755.1)
Source: RNAcentral
AGACUGGUUAAUGAUAACAAUGCGUCAUAAAAUCUUCAGAAGGAAAGAAUGUUUUGUGGACCAUUUCUUUUUGUGUGUGUGUGACCAGUUUUAAGUUACUAGUUUUGAAAAUCACU